AACAGAAAUACUUAUUCCUUAACGUUCAUUUUAUUAUUUAAAAAAAUUGAAUUUAAUUUUAAUGCUUAGAAAUGUUUCUAUACGUUUUUCUCUUCUUUCUGCAAACUUCUAACGCCAAAAUGGAAACACAAAAUUUCCUUUCUAAACAUCGAGGAGUACUUAAAGGACAGAAUAUAAUUUUCAAUUGUAUCACUCCUAUAGUUAAAUAUCCACUUUAUAUUUCGGGAAACGAGAAGCAAAUUAGUUACGAAUGGACAGACAAUGCAAAUAUGACUCUUUUAGAACCUAGAAUUGACGUGGAUUCGAAAAGAGGAACCAUACGAAUACGUAACGUUCAAGUAUCAGAUACGGGAUAUUAUAAAUGUACCAUAAAGAAUAAUACGCGAGAAAUUAAUUCUUUUUAUCAUAGAAUUAUUGUGUAUGAUUUGGUCACACCUUACGAUCGUUAUGAAGUGGAUAUGUAUGAUAGUAGCGAGAAUAUCAGGAAAACUAUCAUACCUGAGGAAGAUUUAGAGUAUAUAAAAAGAAAAAUAAAUGAACUUUGGACAAAACUUUGUCAUAAUAGAAAAUGCAAGGCGGAAUUUAUAAAAAUUCACGGAUGCAAUUAUGAUGAUGACAGGAAAAUGGAAAGCGAAAUUUGUUAUAUAUCUAUCGAUGUUAAAUCUACUCUUCGUUCUUCAAAUAAAUGUAAAGAUUUAUGUCUUCUAAAACUCCAAAAGAAUGAAAUGAAAAGUAUCGCUACUAGAUUUUAUCAAGAAAUAGGCGUAUUAAUUAAUGAUGACAUCAUUAUCAGGAGAUACUUAGUUAGUGAGAGUAUUAGAGGGCAAAGUUUUCUCCAUUGUGAUUCAGGAUUUCACUUUGUAGAACCUAAUCAUUGCAUUCCAUGUUAUCCUGGACGAUAUUGCAUUAAAAAUGAAAAUAAACCUUGCCCUAAAGGAACUUAUCAGAUGUAUUUUGGAAGAGGGGAUUGUACUCCUUGUCCUGAUGGAAAGACGACCGAAAAUGAAGGUCAAACUCAACUUAAGGCCUGUUUUUCUAAGAACGUCGAAACUAUCGUAAAACGUUAUCUACAAAGUUACAGCAACGUAUUGGACUUUAUGUUCGGAUAAUUAUAAAAUACAGCGAAAUUAAAUUCAUACCGCUGCACAUUGGCAUAGGAUAUAAGCAUUAAACCAUUAUAUAUAAAAACAAUACUAUUCAUCUAUACAUGCAUUUUUUUAAUUUAUAAUUAUCGAUCGAUCAGAUGGAACAUUUGUUAAUUUCUGCCACCAGGAGGCUUCGGAUUUUCAGGAUUGUUUGAUCACGUGGUAGUUGGAAACAUGUCAGCGACAGGAGACGAUGAUGUUUUAUACGAAGACAGUGAAAUUACUAAUAAUUACAGAAAUAAUACGUCAAAACCGAAAAAAUCUACCUCUUCGUGCACGCGAUAUCACAUAUCGGCAUUUGUAAUAACAUUUUUUAGGUGAGUUUUACAUUUAAUAUUUGAUUUCGUAAGAUUUAUAAGGUGUUGUAUUGAGUGAAAGUUACUUUAGGUUAUAAGGGUUAAAAUAUCCCCCUGGCGGUGCCACUUCAUAUAUUGUAUAAAUGUAUU
This 1591-nucleotide unclassified non-coding RNA is filed under the name Centruroides sculpturatus (bark scorpion). Its description in RNAcentral is "uncharacterized LOC111623723, transcript variant X2". Lineage: Eukaryota; Metazoa; Arthropoda; Arachnida; Scorpiones; Buthidae. The record is from RNAcentral.